Molecule: ribosomal RNA, 940 nt
Filed under: Craterellus tubaeformis
Lineage: Eukaryota; Fungi; Basidiomycota; Agaricomycetes; Cantharellales; Hydnaceae
Description: LSU rRNA
Rfam family: Eukaryotic large subunit ribosomal RNA
Source: RNAcentral
AUAGCGGAGGAAAGAAACUAACAAGGAUUCCCUCAGUAACGGCGAGUGAAGAGGGAAGAGCUCAGUUUUGAAAUCUGGCAGUCAUUCACUGUCCGAGUUGUAAAUUGAAGAGAUUGUCAUCCACACUGGACCAUGUCUAAAUUGUAAUGAUCCACAGUCCUUUGAUGGAGUAUCAGAGAGGGUAAUAAUCCCCGUCUUUAACGUGGACUCCCAGUGUUUAUGUGAUGCAUUCUCUCAGAGUCGAGUAGUUUGGGAAUGCUGCUCUAAUGGGAGGUAAACUCCUUCUAAAGCUAAAUAUUGGCGAGAGACCGAUAGCGAACAAGUACCGUGAGGGAAAGAUGAAAAGAACUCUGAAAAGAGAGUCAAACAGAACGUGAAAUUGCUGAAAGGGAAGCGUUUGGAGUCAGAUGCGUCUUCAUGGAAUAACGGCUUCUGCAAAGAGGUCAGUGACUUGAAGAUGGGCCAGCACUCACGUAGACCAUUGGAAAAGGGGUCAUUGGAAUGUAGCUCACUUGUUGAGUGAUUAUAGCCUUGAUUCAUAUACAAUGUGUGUUAUGUGAGAUAGACAGCACGACUCACUCAGUCAGUGCUUGCUUGAUUGGCAUAAUGGCUCUAAGCGACCCGUCUUGAAACACGGACCAAGGAGUCUAACAUGUAUGCGAGUAUUAGAGUGAUUGAAACUCUGAAUGCGCAAUGAAAGUGGUCUUUGACUGAGAAUCCUCAGUUAGGGGAGGCAUCAGUACCCCGAGUCUGCUAGUCUUUGACUAAAGAUUUGGAGGUAGAGCAUAUAUGUUGGGACCCGAAAGAUGGUGAACUAUGCCUGAAUAGGGUGAAGUCAGAGGAAACUCUGAUGGAGGCCCGUAGCGAUUCUGACGUGCAAAUCGAUCGUAGAAUUUGGGUAUAGGGGCGAAAGACUAAUCGAACCAUCUAGUAGCUGGUC